Molecule: ribosomal RNA, 490 nt
Filed under: uncultured bacterium
Lineage: Bacteria
Description: partial 16S ribosomal RNA
Rfam family: Bacterial small subunit ribosomal RNA
Source: RNAcentral
AUUGAACGCUGGCGGCAUGCCUUACACAUGCGAGUCGAACGGCAGCAUGAUCUAGCUUGCUAGAUUGAUGGCGAGUGGCGAACGGGUGAGUAAUACAUCGGAACGUGCCCUGUAGUGGGGGAUAACUAGUCGAAAGAUUAGCUAAUACCGCAUACGACCUGAGGGUGAAAGUGGGGGACCGCAAGGCCUCAUGCUAUAGGAGCGGCCGAUGUCUGAUUAGCUAGUUGGUGAGGUAAAGGCUCACCAAGGCGACGAUCAGUAGCUGGUCUGAGAGGACGAUCAGACACACUAGGAGUGAGACACGGCGCAGACUCUUACGGGAGGCAGCAGAGGGGGAUUUUGGAGACUGGGGGCGAGCAUGAUCCAGCAAAGCCGCGCGUGUGAAGAAGGCCUUCGGGUUGUAAAGCACUUUUGUCCGGAAAGAAAUGGCUCUGGUUAAUACCUGGGGUCGAUGACGGUACCGGAAGAAUAAGGACCGGCUAACUACGUG